CACAAACAUUCUUUUUCGUAAUUCUUUCUCUCUCUCUCCUUCCAACUUUCUCUCUCCUCAUGCAGACUCUCGCCAUUUUCUCCCUCCUCUCGUUCUUCUACAUCUCUCGUGCCAACCUUAGAAGAUCCAAUUUAUUCAUUGUCAUCACAAAUCUGUGGUCUGGAUCUCUAAUUGAUGUGAUAAAAGAACGAAUAUCCCAACAUAGAAAUAAUGGCAGCAAACUUUGCUCUUUGGUACAUGAGUAUGUUGAAUAUGCUGAUAAAGUCUUUCCAAGAGGUGAUAGUAACAAAUGCACUUCAUUUUCUCAUUGGAACCCCCCAAUGGAUCGGGGUAAUAAAACAUAAACAUAGUUGCAACGUUGUUGAGAUGGGAUUUGGUCUGACUUGGAUCUGUAAAUAAGGGACUGCAGUGGAAAGAGUUGUAGCUGCUAGAGUGGUGCCGUGAAAGACUGGAUGGGAGGCGGGUGUUGCUGAGAUGGCUACUGCAAGGCGGGGUAUAUUAAUUGCUUCUAGACUGGGGUAUGAGAAAGUGGUGAUUGAAACGGAUCCCUUUGGUUUCUACUGCUGCUGGUAAAGGUUGAUAGGCAUAAGGGUUGAUGUUCAGUAGAUCAGCCUCUAAUCUGUUUGCUACUGGUCUGUUGCUAUAGUCUUAUUAUCCUUUGGUGUUGUUAGGUUAGGUACUACAACUGAUGAAUCUGACAGGUUGGGGAUUUUCAGUCUGCCAGUUUUAUUUGAAUUCUAAAAGUGAUACUGUAUCUGAUUAAAACCAGAAUCACGCGAUGGUAAAUAAGAAGCAAAGUCCAAAAGUGGUGAAUUUUGUUGGUUGA
Long non-coding RNA from Spinacia oleracea (spinach), 826 nucleotides. RefSeq lists it as uncharacterized. The record is from RefSeq and is a predicted model, not a curated record. The transcript has 2 exons. NCBI's taxonomy places the organism in Eukaryota, Viridiplantae, Streptophyta, Magnoliopsida, Caryophyllales, Amaranthaceae.